AUGAAGGACGUGCUAAUCUGCGAUAAGCGUCGGUAAGGUGAUAUGAACCGUUAUAACCGGCGAUUUCCGAAUGGGGAAACCCAGUGUGUUUCGACACACUAUCAUUAACUGAAUCCAUAGGUUAAUGAGGCGAACCGGGGGAACUGAAACAUCUAAGUACCCCGAGGAAAAGAAAUCAACCGAGAUUCCCCCAGUAGCGGCGAGCGAACGGGGAGCAGCCCAGAGCCUGAAUCAGUGUGUGUGUUAGUGGAAGCGUCUGGAAAGGCGCGCGAUACAGGGUGACAGCCCCGUACACAAAAAUGCACAUGCUGUGAGCUCGAUGAGUAGGGCGGGACACGUGGUAUCCUGUCUGAAUAUGGGGGGACCAUCCUCCAAGGCUAAAUACUCCUGACUGACCGAUAGUGAACCAGUACCGUGAGGGAAAGGCGAAAAGAACCCCGGCGAGGGGAGUGAAAAAGAACCUGAAACCGUGUACGUACAAGCAGUGGGAGCACGCUUAGGCGUGUGACUGCGUACCUUUUGUAUAAUGGGUCAGCGACUUAUAUUCUGUAGCAAGGUUAACCGAAUAGGGGAGCCGAAGGGAAACCGAGUCUUAACUGGGCGUUAAGUUGCAGGGUAUAGACCCGAAACCCGGUGAUCUAGCCAUGGGCAGGUUGAAGGUUGGGUAACACUAACUGGAGGACCGAACCGACUAAUGUUGAAAAAUUAGCGGAUGACUUGUGGCUGGGGGUGAAAGGCCAAUCAAACCGGGAGAUAGCUGGUUCUCCCCGAAAGCUAUUUAGGUAGCGCCUCGUGAAUUCAUCUCCGGGGGUAGAGCACUGUUUCGGCAAGGGGGUCAUCCCGACUUACCAACCCGAUGCAAACUGCGAAUACCGGAGAAUGUUAUCACGGGAGACACACGGCGGGUGCUAACGUCCGUCGUGAAGAGGGAAACAACCCAGACCGCCAGCUAAGGUCCCAAAGUCAUGGUUAAGUGGGAAACGAUGUGGGAAGGCCCAGACAGCCAGGAUGUUGGCUUAGAAGCAGCCAUCAUUUAAAGAAAGCGUAAUAGCUCACUGGUCGAGUCGGCCUGCGCGGAAGAUGUAACGGGGCUAAACCAUGCACCGAAGCUGCGGCAGCGACGCUGAUGCGUUGUUGGGUAGGGGAGCGUUCUGUAAGCCUGCGAAGGUGUGCUGUGAGGCAUGCUGGAGGUAUCAGAAGUGCGAAUGCUGACAUAAGUAACGAUAAAGCGGGUGAAAAGCCCGCUCGCCGGAAGACCAAGGGUUCCUGUCCAACGUUAAUCGGGGCAGGGUGAGUCGACCCCUAAGGCGAGGCCGAAAGGCGUAGUCGAUGGGAAACAGGUUAAUAUUCCUGUACUUGGUGUUACUGCGAAGGGGGGACGGAGAAGGCUAUGUUGGCCGGGCGACGGUUGUCCCGGUUUAAGCGUGUAGGCUGGUUUUCCAGGCAAAUCCGGAAAAUCAAGGCUGAGGCGUGAUGACGAGGCACUACGGUGCUGAAGCAACAAAUGCCCUGCUUCCAGGAAAAGCCUCUAAGCAUCAGGUAACAUCAAAUCGUACCCCAAACCGACACAGGUGGUCAGGUAGAGAAUACCAAGGCGCUUGAGAGAACUCGGGUGAAGGAACUAGGCAAAAUGGUGCCGUAACUUCGGGAGAAGGCACGCUGAUAUGUAGGUGAAGUCCCUCGCGGAUGGAGCUGAAAUCAGUCGAAGAUACCAGCUGGCUGCAACUGUUUAUUAAAAACACAGCACUGUGCAAACACGAAAGUGGACGUAUACGGUGUGACGCCUGCCCGGUGCCGGAAGGUUAAUUGAUGGGGUUAGCGCAAGCGAAGCUCUUGAUCGAAGCCCCGGUAAACGGCGGCCGUAACUAUAACGGUCCUAAGGUAGCGAAAUUCCUUGUCGGGUAAGUUCCGACCUGCACGAAUGGCGUAAUGAUGGCCAGGCUGUCUCCACCCGAGACUCAGUGAAAUUGAACUCGCUGUGAAGAUGCAGUGUACCCGCGGCAAGACGGAAAGACCCCGUGAACCUUUACUAUAGCUUGACACUGAACAUUGAGCCUUGAUGUGUAGGAUAGGUGGGAGGCUUAGAAGUGUGGACGCCAGUCUGCAUGGAGCCGACCUUGAAAUACCACCCUUUAAUGUUUGAUGUUCUAACGUUGACCCGUGAUCCGGGUUGCGGACAGUGUCUGGUGGGUAGUUUGACUGGGGCGGUCUCCUCCUAAAGAGUAACGGAGGAGCACGAAGGUUGGCUAAUCCUGGUCGGACAUCAGGAGGUUAGUGCAAUGGCAUAAGCCAGCUUGACUGCGAGCGUGACGGCGCGAGCAGGUGCGAAAGCAGGUCAUAGUGAUCCGGUGGUUCUGAAUGGAAGGGCCAUCGCUCAACGGAUAAAAGGUACUCCGGGGAUAACAGGCUGAUACCGCCCAAGAGUUCAUAUCGACGGCGGUGUUUGGCACCUCGAUGUCGGCUCAUCACAUCCUGGGGCUGAAGUAGGUCCCAAGGGUAUGGCUGUUCGCCAUUUAAAGUGGUACGCGAGCUGGGUUUAGAACGUCGUGAGACAGUUCGGUCCCUAUCUGCCGUGGGCGCUGGAGAACUGAGGGGGGCUGCUCCUAGUACGAGAGGACCGGAGUGGACGCAUCACUGGUGUUCGGGUUGUCAUGCCAAUGGCACUGCCCGGUAGCUAAAUGCGGAAGAGAUAAGUGCUGAAAGCAUCUAAGCACGAAACUUGCCCCGAGAUGAGUUCUCCCUGACUCCUUGAGAGUCCUGAAGGAACGUUGAAGACGACGACGUUGAUAGGCCGGGUGUGUAAGCGCAGCGAUGCGUUGAGCUAACCGGUACUAAUGAACCGUGAGGCUUAACCU
This 2855-nucleotide ribosomal RNA is filed under the name Escherichia coli 2-005-03_S4_C1. Its description in RNAcentral is "bacterial LSU rRNA". It matches the Rfam family "Bacterial large subunit ribosomal RNA". Lineage: Bacteria; Pseudomonadati; Pseudomonadota; Gammaproteobacteria; Enterobacterales; Enterobacteriaceae. The record is from RNAcentral.